Long non-coding RNA from Octopus sinensis (East Asian common octopus), 187 nucleotides. RefSeq lists it as uncharacterized. The transcript has 2 exons. The record is from RefSeq and is a predicted model, not a curated record. Lineage: Eukaryota; Metazoa; Mollusca; Cephalopoda; Octopoda; Octopodidae.
UUUCUCAAAAUAUGAAUAUUUAUUUGCUUGAAUAUUAUUUUAUAUGUAGUUAACGUAGUAAAGUUAUUAUUUUAGAUGUGAAAGUAAAUGGUAGUGAAAUGUUAUUCGAUUUAUAUGAUAUCUAGUUUAUUUAUUUUUACAUUUUAGCGUUAGUUAAAAAUUAGUUAUGGUUAAGUAGUUUUUGUUA